CUCGUCCUAUGUUGCCAGCGAGUUGUGUCGGGGACUCAUAGGAGACUGCCGGGGUCAACUCGGAGGAAGGUGGGGAUGACGUCAAGUCAUCAUGCCCCUUACGUCCUGGGCUGCACACAUGCUACAAUGGCCGGUACAAAGGGCUGCGAUGCCGUGAGGUGGAGCGAAUCCCAAAAAGCCGGUCUCAGUUCGGAUCGGGGUCUGCAACUCGACCCCGUGAAGUCGGAGUCGCUAGUAAUCGCAGAUCAGCAAUGCUGCGGUGAAUACGUUCCCGGGCCUUGUACACACCGCCCGUCACGUCACGAAAGUCGGUAACACCCGAAGCCGGUGGCCUAACCCUUGUGGGGGGAGCCGCCGAAGGUGGCACCGGCGAUUGGGACGAAGUCGUAACAAGGUAGCCGUACCGGAAGGUGCGGCUGGAUCACCUCCUUUCUAACGAGCGUCUGGCUGGUCUGUCCUGUUGGGGGUGGGCUGGUGCAGGGCCAGGACCGGCAUGUGCAUGCCGGUCUGAUUGGUCAUGGGUGGAACUGUCCUGACGAGGGUAGUGAUGCUGCAAGGCCGCUGGAUGUCUAGGACUCUGCGCUUGCUCAUGAGUGCUGAACCCUCCUCAGAGUGCUUCUGGUUGUGUUGGUUACGGGUGUAACUCGUCUGGUGGGUGGCUGGUGGUGCGUGGCACGCUGUUGGGUCCUGAGGGAGUCAGGCUUCCUCGUCUGUUUUCAUCCUCUCUAUGGGUUGAUCUCCUUGGGGGGGGUGGUGGGGGUGGUGGUGCGGGCCAGCUGUGGUGGGAUACCUGCUCUGCACGUGGUGUGGGUGGGGUCCGUCGGGUCGGUUGGGGCCGUCCGUACGUUGAGAACUGCACAGUGGACGCGAGCAUCUUUGUGGCCAAGUUAGUAAGGGCGC
RNAcentral lists this small RNA (900 nucleotides) under Frankia sp. NRRL B-16459. RNAcentral describes it as "bacterial SSU rRNA". The stretch from base 1 to 432 matches the Rfam family "Bacterial small subunit ribosomal RNA", at positions 1104 to 1533 of the family's 1533-position model. The record is from RNAcentral. Lineage: Bacteria; Bacillati; Actinomycetota; Actinomycetes; Frankiales; Frankiaceae.